Oncorhynchus tshawytscha (Chinook salmon) is the source of this 772-nucleotide long non-coding RNA. NCBI's taxonomy places the organism in Eukaryota, Metazoa, Chordata, Actinopteri, Salmoniformes, Salmonidae. The record is from Ensembl.
CCCACAGCUAGUAAAACUGUUGUACAGCCCACUCACGUCCAGGUCUCUGAUGAGGCUCUCCAUCUGGUACAUGUCCUUGAACUCUGGUUUGUACUUCUGGUCCACCUCUUUGUCCAUUCUCUUCAGAAGGUCCUGGGUGUCCCGGGCCUCUUUGUGGAACUGGAGAGAAAACAGACCCCGUCAGGAAAAACACUGUAACAACAUCACUGAAAGCAGCUACGGUUUAUUUCCAUGAAGUUCGACCGGCAGCCAGUCGGUCUCUGCCUGAACCAACUCUGUUCACGUACCACGACAAGUCUGUAACUCAGAAGCUGUUGUUUUGUACAACACAUGCUGAUACACAAGCCUGUCCAAAUCUAAUGACCCUGUUCAAACAUUCAGGAUUUCUUCAACUGAUGCUUUCUGAAUACUUGUUGCUGUGACUCACCUUGUGGUUGUGGUCCGUACGUUUCAGGUGGUAUCAAGGUUAAGGUCAGGUCAGGUUAUAGUAUACUAAAUCACCUUGUGGUAUUCGUCCAUGUGUUUCAGGUGGUAUCAGGGUUAAGGUCAGGGUAUACUAAUCACCUUGUGGUAUUCGUCCAUGUGUUUCAGGUGGUAUCAAGUUUAAGGUCAGGUCAGGGUAUACUAAUCACCUUGUGGUAUUCGUCCAUGUGUUUCAGGUGGUAUCAGGGUUAAGGUCAGGUCAGGUUAUAGUAUACUAAAUCACCUUGUGGUAUUCGUCCAUGUGUUUCAGGUGGUAUCAGGGUUAAGGUCAGGUCAGGUUAUAGUAUCC